RNAcentral lists this ribosomal RNA (499 nucleotides) under uncultured bacterium. Its description in RNAcentral is "partial 16S ribosomal RNA". It matches the Rfam family "Bacterial small subunit ribosomal RNA", at positions 28 to 507 of the family's 1533-position model. The record is from RNAcentral.
GAUGAACGCUGGCGGCGUGCCUAAUACAUGCAAGUCGAGCGAACAGACGAGAGUGCUUGCACUCUCUGCCGUUAGCGGCGGACGGGUGAGUAACACGUGGGUAACCUACCUAUAAGACUGGGAUAACUUCGGGAAACCGGAGCUAAUACCGGAUAAUAUUUAGCUUCGCAUGAAGCAAUAGUGAAAGACGGUUCUGCUGUCACUUAUAGAUGGACCCGCGGUGUAUUAGCUAGUUGGUGAGGUAACGGCUCACCAAGGCAACGAUACAUAGCCGACCUGAGAGGGUGAUCGGCCACACUGGGACUGAGACACGGCCCAGACUCCUACGGGAGGCAGCAGUAGGGAAUCUUCCGCAAUGGACGAAAGUCUGACGGAGCAAUGCCGCGUGAGUGAAGAAGGUUUUCGGAUCGUAAAACUCUGUUGUAAGGGAAGAACAAGUACGUUAGUAACUGAACGUACCUUGACGGUACCUUACCAGAAAGCCACGGCUAACUACGUG